This 139-nucleotide unclassified non-coding RNA is filed under the name soil metagenome. RNAcentral describes it as "partial internal transcribed spacer 1". The record is from RNAcentral.
CCUAGAGUUGUAGGCUUUGCCUGCUAUCUCAUUACCCAUGUCUUUUGAGUACCUUCGUUUCCUCGGCGGGUCCGCCCGCCGAUUGGACAAUUUAAACCAUUUGCAGUCGCAAUCAGCGUCUGAAAAAACUUAAUAGUUA